AUGCGGCGGUGCCGGGGCGCAGGGCUGGCGGGGCUGGCCGCGGUGCUCCUGGUGGCUGCGGGCAGCGCCCAGGUGCAGCAGGAGCCGUCGGCAGAGACCACCGAGGGCACUGGCAUCAGCAUCAGCUGCUCACACCCCAACAUACAGACCGGAGACUUCAUCCUCUGGUACCGUCAGCUCUCGGGCCGAAGCCCCGCAUUCAUCACAGUCGGUCACAAAGGGUCCCAAGAGCUGCGGGACCCUGCGGGGCGGCUGUCGGUGGCGGCAGACCGCCGGUCCAGCGCCCUGUGGCUCGCCCGGCCCCGGCGCGGGGACGCGGCGGUGUAUUACUGCGCCCUGGGAGACACGGGGAGAGGAGCCGGGGCUGCGGCCGGGCAGGAACCGCGGCGGGCGGGGCCGGGCGUGUGUGUCGGGGGCGGGGGGACAGCCCCGAGCGGGCCCGCCAGGGGGCGCUGCCGCUCCGCCCGCCGGGGCCGCCUCGCCCCGCCCGGCCCCGGGGUGGUUCCCGCAUCGACCGGCACCGGCACGAGCACCGGUGCUGGCAUCGGCAUCGGACCCGUCGAGGCCCCGCAGCCCCCGCAGCCUUGA
Gymnogyps californianus (California condor) is the source of this 588-nucleotide non-coding RNA. The record is from the annotation of a RefSeq genome assembly. Lineage: Eukaryota; Metazoa; Chordata; Aves; Accipitriformes; Cathartidae.